GUUGCCGCAGCCGCGGUAAUACUAGGGUGCAGCGUUAAUCGGAAUUACUGGGCGUAAAGCGUGCGCAGGCGGCCUGAUAAGUCAGAUGUGAAAUCCCCGAGCUCAACUUGGGAACUGCGUUUGAAACUAUCAAGCUAGAAUAUGUCAGAGGGGGGUAGAAUUCCACGUGUAGCAGUGAAAUGCGUAGAGAUGUGGAGGAAUACCAAUGGCGAAGGCAGCCCCCUGGGAUAAUAUUGACGCUCACGCACGAAAGCGUGGGGAGCAAACAGGAUUUUUAUACCCUGGUAGUCCACGCCCUAAACGAUGUCAACUGGUUGUUGGACGGCUUGCUGUUCAGUAACGAAGCUAACGCGUGAAGUUGACCGCCCUGGGGAGUACGGCCGCAAAGUUGAAACUCAAAGAAAUUGACGGGA
Molecule: ribosomal RNA, 413 nt
Filed under: uncultured beta proteobacterium
Lineage: Bacteria; Pseudomonadati; Pseudomonadota; Betaproteobacteria
Description: bacterial SSU rRNA
Rfam family: Bacterial small subunit ribosomal RNA
Source: RNAcentral